CGGUAAUACGGAGGGUUGCGAGCGUUUAAUCGGAAUUUACUGGGCGUAAAGCGCAUGCAGGUGGUUUGUUAAGUCAGAUGUGAAAAGCCCGGGGCUCAACCUCGGAAUUGCAUUUUGAAACUGGCAAACUAGAGUACUGUAGAGGGGGGUAGAAUUUCAGGUGUAGCGGUGAAAUGCGUAGAGAUCUGAAGGAAUACCCGGUGGCGAAGGCGGCCCCCCUGGACAGAUACUGACACUCAGAUGCGAAAAGCGUGGGGGAGCAAAACAGGAUUAGAUACCCUGGUAG
RNAcentral lists this ribosomal RNA (286 nucleotides) under uncultured bacterium. RNAcentral describes it as "partial 16S ribosomal RNA". It matches the Rfam family "Bacterial small subunit ribosomal RNA", at positions 518 to 793 of the family's 1533-position model. The record is from RNAcentral.